GCUUGGUUAGCUCAGCAGGUAGAGCAACUGACUUGUAAUCAGUAGGUCUGGAGUUCGACUCUCCAACCAAGCACCA
RNAcentral lists this transfer RNA (76 nucleotides) under Vibrio coralliirubri. Its description in RNAcentral is "tRNA-Thr". It matches the Rfam family "tRNA". From Rfam's summary of the family: Transfer RNA (tRNA) molecules are approximately 80 nucleotides in length. Their secondary structure includes four short double-helical elements and three loops (D, anti-codon, and T loops). Lineage: Bacteria; Pseudomonadati; Pseudomonadota; Gammaproteobacteria; Vibrionales; Vibrionaceae. The record is from RNAcentral.